GGCGGCCAUACCAUGCUGAAUAUACCGGCUCUCGUUAGAUCACCGAAGUCAAGCAUCAUUGGGCGCGGUCAGUACCUGGGUGGGUGACCACCUGGGAACACCGCGUGCC
Molecule: ribosomal RNA, 109 nt
Filed under: Caerostris darwini
Lineage: Eukaryota; Metazoa; Arthropoda; Arachnida; Araneae; Araneidae
Source: RNAcentral